GAAGUUUUGGGUUCCACAGAAUUAUUGGUGCUUAUCUACAAAGUUGAUUAUGCUUAUCAUUCUAGAUUUUCUGAUUCUCAGUUGAACAGUACCGUUGAUAAAGCUACACGAUGGAUGCUAUUCAUUAUAUAAGGUUUGCUAUCAAACUCUCAAAAAAGGAAAAACAACUUUACUCUGUUUUUUGGAUAACCUUCCUGUAGAGUACCUCGACAGAGACAAAUAUGCGAUCACGGAUAUAUUCGAUUGAUUUUCACGCAAAACUUGGAGGAUAUUUUUGCAGAUAGUUUGAUGCUCUCAUGGUUAAUCUUUUUCUUGGAACUAUUGGCAUGUAGAGGAGGCUGCGUUUUAUUUGCUGGUUUAUGUGAUUGGCGGGGAUGGAACAAUGAGAGGAGCAGUGGUGAUAUUCGAAGAGUUUAAACGGUGUCGUUUGAGGAUAUCCAUUA
Molecule: long non-coding RNA, 443 nt
Organism: Triticum aestivum (bread wheat)
Lineage: Eukaryota; Viridiplantae; Streptophyta; Magnoliopsida; Poales; Poaceae
Exons: 4
Source: RefSeq, a predicted model, not a curated record